This 469-nucleotide ribosomal RNA is filed under the name uncultured bacterium. RNAcentral's name for it is "partial 16S ribosomal RNA". It matches the Rfam family "Bacterial small subunit ribosomal RNA", at positions 28 to 507 of the family's 1533-position model. The record is from RNAcentral.
GAUGAACGCUGGCGGCGUGCUUAACACAUGCAAGUCGAACGAUGGUCUCCCGCGCGCGGGGGUGUUUAGUGGCGAACGGGCGAGUAAUAAGUGAGUAACCUGCCUUCGUCUCUGGGAUAAGCCACGGAAACCGGGCCUAAUUAUGGAUACUACUUCCUGCCGAACGGUGGGGGGUGGAAUGGGAUUUACUGGUUAUGGAUGGGCUCACGGGCUAACGGCUUGUUGGUGGAGUAAUGGAUGGCCGAGGCGACGACGGGUAGCGGGCCUGAGAGGGUGACCGGCGGCACAGGGACUGAGGCACGGCCGAGAUACGUACGCGUGGGCGCUGUGGGAAAUCUUGAAGGAUGGACGGAGGCCUAGUGCUGAGGCUCCGCGUGAGGUAUGACGGUGUUAGGGUUGUAAACCUCAUUCGGAAGGAAAGGUGCCACUCGUGACGGUACCUACAGAAGAAGCGCCGGCUAACUACGUG